This 402-nucleotide ribosomal RNA is filed under the name bacterium. Its description in RNAcentral is "partial 16S ribosomal RNA". It matches the Rfam family "Bacterial small subunit ribosomal RNA", at positions 355 to 776 of the family's 1533-position model. The record is from RNAcentral.
UGGGGAAUUUUGCACAAUGGGGGAAAACCUGAUGCAGCGACGGCGCGUGAUUUAGAAGGCCGUCGGGUUGUAAAAAUCUUUGCUAUGGGAAGAAAAUGACAGUACCAUAGGAAUAAGGACCGGCUAAUUACGUGCCAGCAGCCGCGGUAAUAGGUAAGGUCAGAGCGGUGUCCGGAAGCAUUGGGCGUAAAGGGUACGUAGGCGGGUAAGCAAGUUAGAAGUGAAAUCCUAUAGCUCAACUAUAGUAAGCUUUUACAACUGCUCAUCUUGAGGUAUGGAAGGGAAAGUUUAAUUCCUCGUGUCGCUGUUAACUGCGCAGAUCUUAUGAGCAAUCCCGGUGUCGAAUGCGACUUUCUGGCCCUACCCUUACGCUGAGGUACGCACGCGUAGGUAGCACACCGU